GGGACCAUGACAAAACUCGAGAGGUCCAUCUGACUAAUAUCAUUAGCCUCAACCCUAAUCUAACACACAAGAUCCAUAUAUUUACUUGCAAUAAGGUUCCAUCCCCUAAAAUUACUCAGUAUCCUCGUAUGGUGAUCAAUCAUAUGUUCAUCCACCUUAUUAUCCCCAAUAGUACACCACAAACCCUUAAAAUUAUCCUCCUACUCUACAAAAAUAGCAAAGUCCCUCUAGACCCAAUUUUUUAUUUGAACUAAACAAUGAAAACGGAAGGAAUACAUGGGAUAAUUUCAAACCAAUUAGGGAAUCAUAUGCCAGUUCGUUCCAGAAAUUAAGAUUGUGAGGCAUGAUUACUCCUCUCUUUGGGUAUACUAUUGAUUCGUAUUCAAGAAAUUUGAUCUUAAUGUAUGUGGUGCAUAUCAUUUUGAUGUUCAGGGUGAUAGUAAUGAAGAUUGUCAUGCUUUGAAAUGAGAAUAGAGAGGAUCAUUCAAGAUAAGUCAAUUAUGGCGUAGGGCAUUGACACUACAUGCAUCACACAAAAAAAAUUUUCUAGCAUGCAAUAAUACAUAAUGGGUAAGAAUUGCUAAGUUCGUCAUAGGGACCCAUAACCUAUUUGCUGAGGGAAAUAUAUUUGAAAACAAUGAAUGUUCUAUCAUGCUGAUAUGAGAUGUCAUACUUGGCAAUUAGAAAGUCAGUCCUAUCCCACCAUGAAGGAGUUUUGGUAUUUUAUUUUGGUUUUUCUUUCUGUUAUUUGAAUUAUUUUUAGGCUUGUAAUUUGUGAUCAAUCUUGUUUUAUUUCUUUGUCAUUUAUGUCCAACGCCUUCUAUAUUUUCAUUCAACAAAAUGUAGUGUCCUUUUUAUUUUUAACUUUUUAAUAUAUGUUG
This 881-nucleotide long non-coding RNA is filed under the name Capsicum annuum. RNAcentral's name for it is "long non-coding RNA (CANN_LNC007028)". Lineage: Eukaryota; Viridiplantae; Streptophyta; Magnoliopsida; Solanales; Solanaceae. The record is from RNAcentral.